Molecule: long non-coding RNA, 3961 nt
Filed under: Gallus gallus (chicken)
Lineage: Eukaryota; Metazoa; Chordata; Aves; Galliformes; Phasianidae
Description: lncRNA (ENSGALG00010026585.1)
Source: RNAcentral
CUCGGGCAUGUGCUUGAUGGAUUUUUGUAUAACAUGUGAUAACAUGUGAUCAUUGUCCAUACUUUUAUUUGUCUCCAGCCCUCCUGCUCUGAAAUGAUUACCGCAGGAGUAGCCAAGGAUUUCUUCCUGGCAGAAGUCUCUCACGGUUUAAAUAAGGAUGCUUUGGAGGAGUUGGAAACUGGGCAGUGAAAUCCUUUCCACCAGGUAGCUCCUGUCACUUACACUGACACCACGCACGUACUAAACCAAAUUCUUUCACCUUUGUUGUCAAGCUCACUCAUACAUGAUGAAAAAGACUUACGAUUGGACGUGGGCAGGAAGAAGGUGGACUCCAAUGCUAUAAAAGUUGUUCAAAAGCACUUGUUCAGUUAAAGAAUAUAUAAGUUUUGUCUGGUAGCACUUUGUCCUGGAUUCAGAAAUGCAAUGAUUUCAAACUGUAGUUGCUUCCUUAUAAUUAACCAAGCACAGAAGCUGAGCCCAUGAAAAUUGUACAGUAAACACUACUGCUUACUGGCAUAGUGGAAAGAACAAUGAGAGCGCAGAAUCCUAUGUUAAAGCCUAAGAACAACACAAUAUACUGUAUUUUGGGGGUGAUUCCAUUGUGCUGGUAUAUUUGAUUUAGGGAGAAAUAGAUGUUUUGGUCAACACAGAAACAAAUUCACCCCUGCCAUUAUGUUUGGGCUUUUCAGCUGUCCCAUGUAGUGUGUUUGCUGAAGUCUGCCUCAGCAGUUAGGCAGGAGGUUAGCUAUGCUGCAGCAGACCUGUGAAAAGCAAUUUAAUGAUUUAUUAGAUCUAUUGAAUACAGCUUUUGAAAAGCAAACAUAGCCCAUUGCAAGAACACCAUUAGUGGCACAUAGCAAUUUGCUUCACUAAUGUUCUCCUCUGACACCUCCCAAGGCAUGUCAAAAUAACACUACAGUAGCACUUGGUCACGCAGGCUGUACUCUCCUGAAAAAUAACACCAGGCCAAUCUAGGAUGAAGGAGAUGCAGUCAUCUCAUUUGCAGUGUGAAUACUUGAAGGGAGCCUCUGAUUUCAUGACUGAAUUUCAAACAACAGAUGAACUACAAAAUAGAGAUUGUCUUACAAGCCUCCACAUCUCCUUGUCAGGCCCAGCAAAAAAGGCCAGGUUACUUGAUUUAACUUCAGGCCUUGAGAUCUGCAGUGUUGUGAUGAAAAACAGGUCACAGAUAAGAUAAGCUGACAUUGAGCGACAUUGCUUCAAUUAGAGUAGAAAUUAUAAAGCUAGCAUUGGAAAAACAUGUGGCAGCUGGGUGAGGAGCACUAACACAGCACAAAAGCUGUGCUAAAUGUUCAGUUUGGCAAAGGUCCUGGACGUGCCUUUUGCAGCCAUGGUGUAUGUCAGAUCAUAUAUAGAAGGCAAGAUGAUGAAGUUUAACUUGGCUGAUCAUAUAGAAAUAUGCCAACAGUCAGGAACAUAUUGUUCAAACAGGGAAGAUGGACUUGAAUGUGCCCUAAUAAGCAUCAACAUGGCCCUUCUGACCUAUGUCACUGAAGCUCUUGUCUCUGGGCUACAAGUGAAUUCUGUUAAGAACCUCAAACAAAGCAAACUCUCUAGCCACCGGCUCCCCUUUUGGCAUCCAAAAGGAAUCAUGCUAGGUAGUAUUUCAGAAACCUGCUGAUCUCCAUCCUAAGCCUGAUAGGUUUUUUGCCUUCGCCAUUUCCUAAGAAAAAUUGUUUCAGAGCCUUUCAGUUUGAUGGCUUACAAACUAUAUCUGGUUUCCAGAUUAAGGAAAAAGAAAAGCAAACACCUUUGCAAAAGCUGUUGAUCACUCCACCCACACUGUGUUGACUUUCUGGGUGUAGAUGGUGUGUGCACCAAAUAUGCAAAUUAGCUCUACGUCCUUUACCUAAAAAAAGCUCUCUCAACACCCAAUGUUUUUGGUUCUUAACAAACAUUAUUAACAUUUUUUAAUAUAUAUAUAUUUAAUUAUUUACAGUCAAGAGGAUUAUGGUUGCAUGUAGGAAUUAGAAAAGCUAGAAAAAGGGUAUAACAUGAUUGAUAUGCAGUCACAUGGAUGUAUUAUUAAUGAAUGUUAUGCUUUAUUGUAAACAAAUGAUUAAUUCUCUCUUUACCCAGGUGGGUUUUGUUUUCUUAUUUCUUUUCUUCAUUACUGUUAUAUUGACUUGAGCUAAUUUUGUCCUAGUUUAUGUUGGCCUAAGUAAAAACAGAAAAACACCCAGUAACAUCUGCAGUAGAAAUAUAGCAUUGCUUCAAACGGACUUUAAGGACAAAGUAAUGUGCAAUACUUAAUAUUUUCUCUCCACGUGCAUAUGGUAUGCUAAAACCAAUGCAAAGAAAUCCAUGAAAAGAUAAUGAGACAUUCCAUAACUAAUUGUAUAAACGCAUUAGGAGAAUGCCAUUGGUGAUGUAAGUAGACCCUGGUGCAAGCAGAAGAAAAAAAAUACACCACCUAUGAGGAAAUCAGAAAUUAUGUCUAAAAGAAUGAAGAAACAUUUAAGAGUAAUUUAGCAUAGCUUUAAUAAUUACAGUAAAAUUAUCAUCAUCCUGAACAUUCUACCAUUUAAUGAAAUGGAAUGCCUUUGAGUAUUUUAUCUUCAGGACCGAUUUAAAAGUCAUUUUUCUCCAUGUUAUCCUUACAUCCAAAACUAAUUUCCGGUAAAUGACAAACACGUUUAUCCGGGACUGACAUAUGGUCAGCCUCUACUCCCAGGUAACAGUGAUAGGACAAGAGGGAAUGGCCUCAAGUUGUGCCAAGGGAGGUUCAAGUUCGUUGUCAGGAAACAUUUCUUCUCAGAAAGUAUGGUGAUGCAGUGGCAGAGGCGGCCCAGGGAGUGGAGUCACUGUCCCUGGAGGCGUUCAAGAACCAUGAUGUGGCUCAGUGGGCAUGCUGGGGUGGGUUGACAAUUGGACUUGGUGAUCGUAGAUGUCUUUCUGAACCUUAAUGAUUUGAUGAUUCUAUGGUUGAACUAUCGAUUUUUUCCUUAAAGUUUCACACCCGUGGUUGCAGUUUUCUCUCUAUCAAAACAUGAGAAUGCAUCUUGGUGCUAUGAAGUGUAAUAUGAAUUUUUAGCUUUUAAUUUGUUCUGUUGAUUGUGUUGUUAUAAUUAUGCUCUCUUGAUAUUGUAAAAGAAAGAUCAAGGCCUGCCAGAAUGAAUGAAACAGCAAUUUAUAAAGUUUCACUUCUGGGAUGUUGACAGUACCCAUGGUACAAUUUCAAAGCCAGAGCACAAAUAAUACUAUGAAUAUAGCAAUACAAUAAUCUAAUCUAAGUCAAACAGUUUUAAAGAAAAUCACUUCUUGAAUUUUUUUUCACCUUGGCAGUUUGUCUCAUUUAAAAAUACUGCAGAUGGUUCAGAUGAAGGUUAUUUUCUGAGACAGUGUUGCAAACCUCGAACCUUUUCUCAAAAAAACCUAAGAUGUGUGUAAAAUCAGCUGAACUAACACCUCUGUUUGUUUGACUGUGCUUCCAUAGAGAGGAAGGGCACUUGCUGCCGGCUGCAGGAAGCCCUCUCUGGAGGAGGAGAUGGCUCCUUCCCUCACAGUAACUGCACAGCCUUGGUGGGGAGAAGGUUUGGGAGGGCAAACGGUGCUAGAGGAGUGUGAGAGACAUAAGGUGAGCUUGAAAUGGGAGUGCAGAUGGGAGAGGAGGUGCAGGGGCCUUCGGUUGACCCAAAGCUGACUUCAGAUGUGAGGGUGAGGAGGGCUUCCCAGGACCAUGCAGGGAGCUGGCCACCACAACUGUGCCAAGGGAAGGACACGCUCUUCUUCGACACAGCUGAAAGGGGACCUGUUGAACCCAACCUUUUAAAAUCAGCUUGGCCCAAGGGCUCUGCAGUUCCUCUUGAGAGCAAUCCUGUUGCAGAUUAUUACUUAGUUUACUAAAUUCCAGCUCCAUGGACUGGAAGCAUCUGUUUGUUUGUUUGUUUGUUUUGUGUUUUGUUGUUGUUGUUGCAUAGGAGAGCCCUUUUUGCUUUAA